GGGUCCGACACGCUACGCCGCCUGAAGGAUGGCUCGGCUUGGGCGCCGAGGAAGGGCGUGGCAAGCUGCGAUAAGCCCCGGGUAGGCGCAUGCAGCCUUAGAUCCGGGGAUCCCCUAAUGGGACUUCCCGCCGUAGAUUAAUCUACGGCGCUCCCGUAUAGGGAGCGGGAACCCUCCGAAAGGAAGCAUCCAAGUAGGAGGAGGAGGAGAAACCAAUAGGGAUUCCCUGAGUAGCGGCGAGCGAAAAGGGAGGAGCCCAAACCGAACCCGCCUGGGAAACUAGGCGGGGAUGUGGGGUAGAAGGGACCGGCUGCAUCCUCCCCGGUGAAGCCGAGGUGGCCUGGAACGGCCCGCCAUAGAGGGUGAAAGCCCCGUAGGUGUAAGCCGGGUGGAUUUGAGCCGGUAUCCCUGAGUACUACGCCUCUGCUCUGGCGUAGGAACCUGGGAGAAAGCAACUUCCAAGGCUAAAUACGUCCCAAGACCGAUAGCGCACUAGUACCGUGAGGGAAAGCUGAAAAGCACCCCGGAAGGGGGGUGAAAAGAGCCUGAAAUC
RNAcentral lists this ribosomal RNA (553 nucleotides) under Candidatus Bathyarchaeota archaeon. RNAcentral's name for it is "partial 23S ribosomal RNA". It matches the Rfam family "Archaeal large subunit ribosomal RNA", at positions 1 to 547 of the family's 2987-position model. Lineage: Archaea; Thermoproteati; Candidatus Bathyarchaeota. The record is from RNAcentral.